Molecule: ribosomal RNA, 482 nt
Filed under: uncultured bacterium
Lineage: Bacteria
Description: partial 16S ribosomal RNA
Rfam family: Bacterial small subunit ribosomal RNA
Source: RNAcentral
AUUGAACGCUGGCGGCAUGCCUUACACAUGCAAGUCGAACGGUAACGGGCCUUCGGGUGCCGACGAGUGGCGCACGGGUGCGUAAUACAUCGGAACGUGCCCGAUCGUGGGGGGUAACGAGGCGAAAGCUUUGCUAAUACCGCAUACGAUCUACGGAGGAAAGCAGGGGACCGCAAGGCCUUGCGCGGACUGAGCGGCCGAUGGCAGAUUAGGUAGUUGGUGGGAUAAAAGCGUACCAAGCCGACGAUCUGUAGCUGGUCUGAGAGGAUGAUCAGCCACACUGGGACUGAGACACGGCCCAGACUCCUACGGGAGGCAGCAGUGGGGAAUUUUGGACAAUGGGCGCAAGCCUGAUCCAGCCAUGCCGCGUGCAGGAUGAAGGCCUUCGGGUUGUAAACUGCUUUUGUACGGAACGAAAAGCCUUCUUUUAAUACAGGAGGGUCAUGACGGUACCGUAAGAAUAAGCACCGGCUAACUACGUG